UCGGGAAUUUUGCGCAAUGGACGAAAGUCUGACGCAGCAACGCCGCGUGAGGGAUGAAGGCCUUCGGGUUGUAAACCUCUUUUCUCAGGGACGAUAAUGACGGUACCUGAGGAAUAAGCCACGGCUAACUACGUGCCAGCAGCCGCGGUAAUACGUAGGUGGCGAGCGUUGUCCGGAUUUACUGGGCGUAAAGAGCGCGCAGGCGGUCGGCCAAGUCGAAUGUGAAAGCCCCCGGCUCAACUGGGGAGGGUCACUCGAUACUGGUCGACUCGAAGGCGGGAGAGGGAAGCGGAAUUCCCGGUGUAGUGGUGAAAUGCGUAGAUAUCGGGAGGAACACCAGUGGCGAAGGCGGCUUCCUGGCCCGUUCUUGACGCUGAGGCGCGAAAGCUAGGGGAGCGAAACGGGAUUAGAUACCCCCGGUAGUCCUAGCCGUAAACGAUGGACACUAGGUGUUGGUGGUAUCAACCCCACCAGUGCCGAAGCUAAACGCAUUAAGUGUCCCGCCUGGGGA
RNAcentral lists this ribosomal RNA (511 nucleotides) under uncultured Acidobacteriota bacterium. RNAcentral's name for it is "bacterial SSU rRNA". It matches the Rfam family "Bacterial small subunit ribosomal RNA", at positions 355 to 879 of the family's 1533-position model. Lineage: Bacteria; Pseudomonadati; Acidobacteriota. The record is from RNAcentral.